This is a long non-coding RNA of Selaginella moellendorffii, 339 nucleotides long. RefSeq lists it as uncharacterized. The record is from RefSeq and is a predicted model, not a curated record. NCBI's taxonomy places the organism in Eukaryota, Viridiplantae, Streptophyta, Lycopodiopsida, Selaginellales, Selaginellaceae. The transcript has 3 exons.
AUCGUAGUCAUCUUGAAGUCUCGGAUCUACCAGCUUCUCCAGAUUUCCACUCUCGAGAAGAGGUCGUCCCUGAAAGAGACAAGACGCCAAACUUAUUCGAAUACGUGAUUUCGACAGUGAUGAGCUCCAGAAGAACAACGCCGAACGAGUACACGUCCGUCUUCUCGUUGAGCUUUCCAAACAUGAAGUACUCGGGCGCUAGAUAUCUGUAAACGGAAGUGAGGAUUUUCAACGAGGUAGAGGAAUAAAUGAGGUUAUGUGAGGAGUUGUUGUCGGUGCCCAUUUUGCAAGUCCAAAGUCCGAGAUCUGCGAACACGUUAGUUUUUUUUCUCUUCAGGC